RNAcentral lists this ribosomal RNA (442 nucleotides) under uncultured Prevotella sp. Its description in RNAcentral is "bacterial SSU rRNA". It matches the Rfam family "Bacterial small subunit ribosomal RNA", at positions 355 to 794 of the family's 1533-position model. Lineage: Bacteria; Pseudomonadati; Bacteroidota; Bacteroidia; Bacteroidales; Prevotellaceae. The record is from RNAcentral.
UGAGGAAUAUUGGUCAAUGGGCGAGAGCCUGAACCAGCCAAGUAGCGUGCAGGAUGACGGCCCUAUGGGUUGUAAACUGCUUUUAUGCGGGGAUAAAGUCUGGGAUGCAUCCCAUUUUGCAGGUACCGCAUGAAUAAGGACCGGCUAAUUCCGUGCCAGCAGCCGCGGUAAUACGGAAGGUCCGGGCGUUAUCCGGAUUUAUUGGGUUUAAAGGGAGCGUAGGCCGUCGUUUAAGCGUGUUGUGAAAUGCCGCGGCUCAACCGUGGCACUGCAGCGCGAACUGGAUGACUUGAGUGCGCUGGAGGUAGGCGGAAUGCGUUGUGUAGCGGUGAAAUGCAUAGAUAUGACGCAGAACUCCGAUUGCGAAGGCAGCUUACCAAAUCGCUACUGACGCUGAGGCACGAAAGCGUGGGGAUCGAACAGGAUUAGAUACCCUGGUAGU